Hipposideros armiger (great roundleaf bat) is the source of this 3698-nucleotide long non-coding RNA. RefSeq lists it as uncharacterized. NCBI's taxonomy places the organism in Eukaryota, Metazoa, Chordata, Mammalia, Chiroptera, Hipposideridae. The record is from RefSeq and is a predicted model, not a curated record. The transcript has 3 exons.
GCCAGGGGAGCUGCCAGGAGGGGCAGGCACUGGAAAAUAAUCUGGCCGUGGGGCUGCGGAAAGGCUGGAGAACAAUGCAGCUACCCAGCGACUGCGUGGUCACGGAAUUAUCCGGCUGUGCUGUUCCAGAAGACCUCCACGGCCUUCCCCAACGGUUCCUAGCAGCGGUCCACCCCGACCGCACAGACGCGGCCCAGCAGGGUCCAGCUCGCCUGGCCCGACACCUGGCUCCCAGCAUCCGCCCUUCUGCAGUGUCCUCUCUCUGCCCGAGGACUCAUGGCCAUUGUACGUGUUGGUGGCUGACCCCUUUCUUCCCACCCUCCACACAGACGAGUCCACGCUUAACAGCAAGCGCUUCCCACUUUGGUUUUCUCUCCUCUCUUUUAAGUGAAAACAGGCGUUUCAGUUUGUGACUGGCAAGACAGGGUGGAGACGACAGAAGUUGGUGCCGUGCCAACAACCAUGUUCCUAAACCGUCACAGCUUUGGGAGAGCCAUCGACAUUUUGUUUUUUUCAAUUAAGGUUAAGAAGCGAGUACACUGCUUUAAAACGUCAAUAACAUGUGUUGCAACUCAUUCACGGGUAUCGAACGUGACACCCCAGCAGCAGUCCCCACACACACACUCAUCCCAAGACUCUGAAAGCCCUUCUCCGCCCAGAACACCUCACCCACGCCAAAGACCUGUGCACCCCGACGGCACUGAAUUUUGAGGUGUCUAUGAACACACCACGGGGUCCUGAGCCCUGGGCCUGAAGACCCUGAGGAAAGGGAAGGAGGGGAACACACCCCACCUCCUGGGGUCCAGCUGGUCCCACCCAACAUUGUUUCAGAGCCAUGCAAGCUCCAAGCUCCGAGGUGCAGCGGCCAUCACCCCAUCGGCAUGUGAGCACGUCUUUGUCCAGGGAUUGUGGGAACCACAGAUGGCUAAGACACGAGCCCUGCUGUCAGAGGCUUCUCGUUCACCAGGGAAGCACCCACAUACUACUAGUGCUGGUGAAAAACCAGGUAAGAACCAAAGAAGUGUGGCAAGAUGUCACAGGGCGGGGAAAGCCAUCUCCUCUGAGCUAAGCCUUGAGUCAUGGCGCAAGUCUCCCAGCCUCAGUUCUGGAAACACGACUUGAAUCAAUAUAAAUUAACACUCCACCGUAAUACCUAAUACCAUGUGACAAUUACUGGUUUUCAGGUGCGGUUCCAUUCAGACCGUUCGCUGAGCAGGAGCUGUGAUAUAUCUGCGCCCUGAACACCGGACAUGGAGUCUAGCCUGAGGAGGCGCCCAGAAUUUGUGACUUGUUAUCUGAUUACAUCAACAUAUAAACACGCUGUGGGAUUCAAGGACUCCCUGACUUCCUAACUCACAAGAAAAUACAUUACAGAUACAGAUUUUUUUAUCAUCUCCCAGCUUGUUUACCAAGGUCAGCGGGAAAGAGACCCAGGAAAAAGGUGAGGCCGAAGGAAGACUGCAUAAUUCUAUUUUCCGGGUGAAUAUUUUUAGUCAAGACUUUAUGCUUAGCAAAGUAGUGCUCAAAUUCACCCAGUGCUUGGAAGACAUGGAAAAGAAAAUGCAAAAGGUUCUGAUGACGCUUCUCCUAAAGCCUUGAUAUUCCGAGUGCGGUCGGGGACCAGUGGCCAGCACCCCUGGGAGCCUGGGGGCCUGGAAGCCUGCGGACUCUGAGCCCACCCAGACCUGAAGGCUGACAGGUGAUGUGAAGGAACGCUGAAGUUUGGAUAGCUCUGCUUUAAAAAGCCUCCACUUACAGGUUUGCCACUUUAUCUUUACAAAAGAAGAAAGAAGCCGUGGGGAACGCAGACAUUUGCGUCCACCCCCAAAUGUCACACCCGUGGUCAUUUAGAAGGCCGAUGGUGCAGACCACCUUCCAGCAGCGGCUGGAAUCAUCAGGAAGAGGACUCAGUGGCCAAGGUCCUGGAAGGCACCUUUAACCUGAUAUCAAGGCUCUCCCAGCUCGGAAAGACACAUCACAGGGUCAAUCGAUAACGUGCAACCCAACAAACCCUCUGAUGCAACAGCCACAGGUCAUGACCAGAGAGGGCGGGAAAGGUCAUAUCUGCUGGACAGGCACAGGUGCCACCCUCCAGCUUCUCUCAGGAGCAUCAGUGCCUCCAAAGCAGUCACAUUGAUGGAGUCCAUCUACACGGUAGCGUUAGAGGAAGCUUUUAUUUCUACAGCUAAGUUUUACUUUGAGAGAAGACGGAGUGGGCGGGAGCUGCAGUGGGCGGGGGAGAAGGCAAGAGGAUAAGAGGGUAACGAGCUUUCCCCAGGGCCCCUCAGCCUCCCCACAUUCUUCGAGCCUCCUCCCUGGGUGCAGGACCGGUCUGAAGCAGAGGUGAGCUCUGAGGCUGCCAGGUGAACUCGCUGGCCCCAAGUGCACCCAGGUCACAUGAUGAGCGACUGAGGUAGAACCAGCACGCAGAGCCUCUGAUUCACAGGCUGAACUGCCCGACACCGCACUGCUUUCAAAAUUAGACGCACACACGCUUCCUGAGUGACGGACACAUAGCAUGUUCUAGAAUCUCAUGUCUGAAACGUAUUAAUAAUAACGUUUACAGCUUUUCGAGAAAAUGCUAUGAAAAUAGGAAUAUUUUUAAAAACUAACAAAGAAGCUAUAAGACAAUAUCCGCUACCCAAAGGAGCAUGGAGAGCUUAGGAGCAGAGGAUUACCGAAUAAUUAUGCAAAGUGCCCCACGCGAGAACACACCCGAGUGGAUGUCUCAGGCAGCAGUUCUCACAGCGUGACCCCAGGCGAGCACGUCAGCACCUUCUGGAACUUUUCAGAAAUGAUGGGAUAGACAAGGGGUGGGGCGCAGCCACCUGCUUGGUCACAAGCCCCCCCACCCCCGCCUCCAGCCCAGGGUUUUCUGAUGCAGGCUCAAGUUUGAGAACCUGUGGCCUGACACAAUGAGGUUCCCAGGUCCUGUGUGUGGUGGGCCUAAGAUAAGCGCUGCUCCUGCAGGAACCUAGCCACACAGCCAUGGUUUAAUGAUACCGUCUUCACUGUCAUUUACCAUCAACCAUUUCACCCCCACGAACACCACAAGCUUCUCCUAGGUUAACAGCAUUCUUCCUCAGGUCGACGAUUGAAGCGUGAGUAACAAAAUCAAGCUGAGAUAAUUUUCCAUAAACGUGAUCUAUUGCCAUCGGUAUUAUGUACUGAAAAAAAAAAUGACACAUGUGACAGUUAUGAAAGGUUGCCUCGCUCUACACCAAGAGUUGAAAAUUAAGGCUAAAAUGAAAAACAAAAAACACUUGGAAAAUUCUCAGUGUUCCCAAGUAAACGGGGAGUGGGUUCCUGUAGCCGGCUUGCAGUGCAGCCCUGGGUCUGCAGGAGAUACCACCUGGGGGCCUGUGAGGAAUGCAGAGUCCAGGGCCCCCGCCCAGGCCAGGCACCAGGCUGCGUGUUAACAGAAUGCCCGGGAAUUGUGCUCACACUGAAGCCUGAGAAGCGGUGCAUUCGACGGGACCUGAAAAAUACUGGGUGAAGGUGGGUUUCCUCCUCUUUUGCCUUUUUUAUGCAAGGGAGAGCCAACUGCUGUCAAGCAAGACAGAGCAACUAUUCAGCGUUUUCUGUGAGUAUGGCAUUGGAGAAGGCAUUCUUUCGGAAACGGGAAUUUAUUUCUUCCUUCCUAAAUAGACUGAUUUAAAUUAACCUCCCUGGCGGUCUGAUUAUGUCAGUAAUUUUGU